CAAGAACACUCUUUCCUACUAUUACGGACGUACUCCUACCUACUAACCAUCUGUCCUAAUUCGCGUCCUUCACACAUUCCUAUCAAGAGUCCUGUUCUCCGUAAGCUGUAACUGUUUUAUGCCAUGCCUAAUUACCUUUCUUCAAUAUUUCUUCGACUUACCUCUAUGCCGCCUAAAACCAUCCAACACACCCUCAACCUAACUAGGGACCAAUUUGAUUUUAAAAUGUUUUCCACCACAUCAAACACACCCUUAUUAUUCCAUAUAUAAGCAAUCUAAUGUAUUUACAUGUGAGAAUUUAUGAAUAAAGCAAA
RNAcentral lists this long non-coding RNA (314 nucleotides) under Capsicum annuum. RNAcentral describes it as "long non-coding RNA (CANN_LNC009010)". Lineage: Eukaryota; Viridiplantae; Streptophyta; Magnoliopsida; Solanales; Solanaceae. The record is from RNAcentral.